RNAcentral lists this microRNA precursor (72 nucleotides) under Nothoprocta ornata. RNAcentral's name for it is "mir-205 microRNA precursor family". It matches the Rfam family "mir-205 microRNA precursor family". The record is from Rfam by way of RNAcentral. RNAcentral also lists the same sequence under 1 other name. Lineage: Eukaryota; Metazoa; Chordata; Aves; Tinamiformes; Tinamidae.
UUCUGACGCCCUUCAUUCCACCGGAAUCUGUGCACAGGAACCAGAUUUCAGUGAAAUGAAGCCCAUCAGAGA